This 484-nucleotide ribosomal RNA is filed under the name uncultured bacterium. Its description in RNAcentral is "partial 16S ribosomal RNA". It matches the Rfam family "Bacterial small subunit ribosomal RNA", at positions 28 to 523 of the family's 1533-position model. The record is from RNAcentral.
GACGAACGCUGGCGGCGUGCUUAACACAUGCAAGUCGAACGAUGAACCCGGAGCUUGCUCCGGCGGAUUAGUGGCGAACGGGUGAGUAACACGUGAGUAACCUGCCCUUGACUCUGGGAUAACUGCGGGAAACUGUAGCUAAUAACGGAUACGACCCUCGGCGGCAUCGCCAGGGGGUGGAAAGAAUUUCGGUCAAGGAUGGACUUGCGGGCUCUCAGCUAGUUGGUGAGGUAACGGCGCACCAAGGCGACGACGGGUAGCCGGCCUGAGAGGGUGACCGGCCACACUGGGACUGAGACACGGCCCAGACUCCUACGGGAGGCAGCAGUGGGGAAUAUUGCACAAUGGGCGCAAGCCUGAUGCAGCAACGCCGCGUGAGGGAUGACGGCCUUCGGGUUGUAAACCUCUUUUAGUAGGGAAGAAGCGAAAGUGACGGCACCUGCAGAACAAGCACCGGCUAACUACGUGCCAGCCGCCGCAGUAA